GAUGAACACUGGCGGCGUGCCUAAUACAUGCAAGUCGAACGCAUUGAGAGAAGUGCUUGCACUUUUCAAUUUGAGUGGCGAACGGGUGAGUAACACGUGGGCAACCUACCUGAUAGCGGGGGAUAACGAGUGGAAACAUUCGCUAAUACCGCAUAACAAUAGAGAUGGCAUCUUCUUUAUUUAAAAGGCGCUUUCAAGCGUCACUAUCAGAUGGGCCCGCGGUGCAUUAGUUAGUUGGUGGGGUGAAGGCCUACCAAGACGAUGAUGCAUAGCCGCGUUGAGAGACUGAUCGGCCCCAUUGGGACUGAGACACGGCCCAAACUCCUACGGGAGGCUGCAGUAGGGAAUCUUCCACAAUGGACGAAAGUCUGAUGGAGCAACGCCGCGUGUGUGAUGAAGGUUUUCGGGUCGUAAAGCACUGUUGUAUGGGAAGAAAUGCUAGGCUAGGAAAUGAGCUUAGUUUGACGGUACCAUACCAGAAAGGGACGGCUAAAUACGUGCCAGCCGCCGCCGUAA
This 516-nucleotide ribosomal RNA is filed under the name uncultured bacterium. RNAcentral's name for it is "partial 16S ribosomal RNA". It matches the Rfam family "Bacterial small subunit ribosomal RNA", at positions 28 to 523 of the family's 1533-position model. The record is from RNAcentral.